This is a long non-coding RNA of Mercenaria mercenaria, 343 nucleotides long. RefSeq lists it as uncharacterized. The record is from RefSeq and is a predicted model, not a curated record. NCBI's taxonomy places the organism in Eukaryota, Metazoa, Mollusca, Bivalvia, Venerida, Veneridae. The transcript is spliced from 4 exons.
GGAGAAGCUGAGUCGCCAGUACUGACAAAAGUGAAAGAAUUCCAACAGAAGCGAAAAAGAAAGAAACUCAGCUGUAGUCUAGAUGAUGUUGGUAUUCAGGAGAGAUGUAUCAGAUGUAAUGAGCUUAUUCCAUUGAGAUUGCUUAGAGAACAUGCAGAUGUCUGUGAAGCUGCAGAUAAGUUUUGGUAGGGAUGAGUUUGAGUAUGUACAGUUGUUUGACCUGUCUUACCAUGUGGCAGUCCCAGAAGAUGUUACCAUUAUGAAUAAAUGCAGGGGAACUUGAAGACAAUGGUUAGUGCAGAAGGGACAUAAAAGUAAUGUGAAAGUAACAGAUAUAAAUAAG